This 254-nucleotide ribosomal RNA is filed under the name uncultured prokaryote. RNAcentral's name for it is "partial 16S ribosomal RNA". It matches the Rfam family "Bacterial small subunit ribosomal RNA", at positions 525 to 777 of the family's 1533-position model. The record is from RNAcentral.
ACGGGGGGAGCAAGCGUUGUUCGGAUUUACUGGGCGUAAAGGGCGCGUAGGCGGCCUCCGCAAGUCAGUUGUGAAAUCUCCGAGCUUAACUCGGAAAGGUCAACUGAUACUGCGGGGCUAGAGUGCGGAAGGGGCAACUGGAAUUCUUGGUGUAGCGGUGAAAUGCGUAGAUAUCAGGAGGAACACCGGUGGCGAAGGCGGGUCUCUGGGCCGAUACUGACGCUGAGGAGCGAAAGCGUGGGGAGCGAACAGGA